AACCAGCACACUAGCAUGAGCAGCAGCUGAGCUAAUUAAACGAAAAAAAUAAAUGAAAAUUAAAGUGUAAAUUGAGAAAUAUUGCAAUUUACUAAUUAUUUGUGUUUUCUAAUCUACUGUAAGUUUGCUAAUUUCUAUUUAAAGUCAGGUCAUAUUUAACUCAUUAUGCUGCCUGGGUGAGAGAUAUUUCAGAAAAUGAAUUAGUCAUGUCGUCAAUGAAAGAUAACAUCAAGGAAAAUGGAAAACAAGAAUCAGUAAUGUCAUAUGUUGUAGGCCCUGUGUUUUACCAGUGUGACAAGUGUGGCACCUUUUUCCGUUCCAAACCCCUGGCCGCAAUUCAUCUUUGGACUGCUGGGCAUGGAAAACCUAGUUCUGCCGGAUGGAGCACGGUCCCCUUUCCCACGCCAAUAUUAAAAUUGGACAAAUUACUUGUCGAAGCACCGGAAAUAGAAACUGAUCUUGAUGAAGAAUUUGCAGCCAGUCCGCUAUUCGUCCCAGUCGAGGUCGAGAUGGAGACGGAGUUUGAGUUUGAAAACGUCGUCGAACUAUGCGAACCUUUGGAGGAAUCUAGAUCAAGUAUUCCUCUAAGUUCCGAAAAUCCUGUCAGAAAGAGAAAACAGUUCAUCGCAAAAUUUCGCUCUUAUGAUGAGAUUAAAGAAGAAACCGUUCAUGAAGGUUUUCAAGCUGUGGUGCAAGGACUAAUGACACUCCAAAAUGCAGGAAAUGCAACCCUGGCCGAUACCAAAUCUCUCCCUCCGGUACAAAUACAAUCCGACACAGGAGUAAAAACUAAAUUGACUUGUGACAAAUGUGGGAGAACUUUUUCCACAAAUUUUACACUCCGACGACACCAGGAAAUCGUUAAAAACUGUUCCAACCUAACCAUACGUGAGCGGGUAGAUUUUACUGGACCAGAUAAACGCAAAAACAGGGUCCGACAGUGUCAGCGUGUCGCGAUCGAUCUAUCUUGUGACAAGUGCGACGUCAUAUUUGUUCACGCUACUUCAUUGAAACGACAUUUAAGCAACAAUAGUUGCUCGAGCGUCAAAACUCCAUCGAGUAGCAAUAUGAAGAAGACAGGGAGAAUAAAGUGUAACAAAUGCGACGCCACAUUUAUUCACGCUAGUUCACUGGAACGACAUUUAAACAAUAAAACUUGUUUCAACGUCAAAACACCUGUUCCAUUAAGGAGAAAAAGUGCACUGCCAUUGGGGAGAAUAAUUUGUGGCAAAUGUGGACUCAAUUUUGCCUCAAAUUAUUCACUCGAACGACACCAGACUAACGUUAAAGACUGUUCCAACAAAAUCAUACUCGCUCAGCUAAUCAGAAAACGGCAGCGGGUAGGUUUUACUGGACCCAAAACUGUCGCAAUCGAUAGAUCUCAAAUUCACUACGAGCAACACGUGAAACUGAAAACUAACUUCAACUCGUCCCCUGCCGAAACUAAUGCUAUUAGUUGUAUUCCAUUAAGGGAAAAAAGUGCAUUGGGGAGAAUAAGUUGUGACAAAUGUGGACUCACCUUUGCUUCGAAUUAUUCACUCGGACGACACCAGAACUACGUCAAAGAUUGUUCCAACCGAACCCAAUUAGCUCGUUUAAGAAGAAUACGUCAAAAGCACCCUCGCUUUAAGCGUACCGGACCAAUUAAACCCAAAACCCGAACGUACUCUGAGCGUCACUAUGAGCAACACAUGAAAAGUCACUCUCACUCGCCCCCUGUCCCCAAAGGGAGUCGCAAUUCUAGGAAGGCAAGAAGAGUAAUAAAGUGUGACAAGUGUAACGUCACAUUUCUUUACACUAGAUCAUUGCGACGACACUUACAAAAUAAAACUUGUGAACGUCGUACUUGUCCCGUUUUCACAUGUCGAAAGUCGUUCCCCAGUCCUCCCUCCUUGCAAGUUCACAUUAGACUUGUUCAUGAAAAGAAAAACGGGGACGAAGGUGGGCGUCAGUGCGCCAUUUGCGGGGAGAGUUUCGACCUCGGCAACAAACUUUACGCCCACUUGGCGCUAAAACAUGCAUCCCAGGAUGACGUUGAGGAAGAGAACAGCGUUGUCUUAGUAAAAGAUGAAGAAAUGAUUAUUAAAGAAGAGCUAGACGUGGAUGAUUAUGAAAGCUCGUUGUUAUCGGAACUAGACGCGGAAGGUGCUGACAUGGUGGGUGGCGUGAAACUGGAAGGCGAUGAAAUGGAAGAGUUUUAUGAGAAUGGUGUUACGAGUAGUGGGAUUUUCGACAUUCUUGACCCCGAUGAAGAUCAUGAUAGCGUUGACGAUUUAUAAAUGCGAGAGACGUCUGACAAACUUUUUUUAGAUUGUAAAUUUUUAUAUAAUUUCUAAUUAACAUUAUUUCAUAUUACAGAGAUGAUAUUCUUGGAUUCUACGGCAGAAUUUGUAUUAAGAAUACUGACAACAAUGUAUUUUGUACAAGACUUUAUCUAUAUUUUUGGGCCUCCGCGUGCAGGUGGUGUACCACACCAGGGCCGGGCCCCGCAGGGGCCGGGCCUGCGUCCCAGAAAAAAAUUAAAUUUGUCGAAAACAUAAACGACAUCGUUUUAAAUAAAUUUUGUGCAAAUUAAAAAUGA
Molecule: RNA transcript, 2581 nt
Organism: Folsomia candida
Lineage: Eukaryota; Metazoa; Arthropoda; Collembola; Entomobryomorpha; Isotomidae
Gene name: protein suppressor of hairy wing
Exons: 18
Source: RefSeq, a predicted model, not a curated record